GCCUGGUUAGCUCAGUCGGUAGAGCGUGUGGCUUUUAAGGAAUGAACUGUUCCCACGAAACCUCAAAGUCACGGGUUCGAGCCCCGUAUCAGGCU
Molecule: non-coding RNA, 95 nt
Organism: Tirmania nivea
Lineage: Eukaryota; Fungi; Ascomycota; Pezizomycetes; Pezizales; Pezizaceae
Source: the annotation of a GenBank genome assembly